Non-coding RNA from Lupinus angustifolius (narrow-leaved blue lupine), 88 nucleotides. The record is from Rfam. Lineage: Eukaryota; Viridiplantae; Streptophyta; Magnoliopsida; Fabales; Fabaceae.
GCCAAUGAUGAAGACAACAUUGAGACUUUCCGAAAUGCAAAUUGUUGCAUUUAAAUGUUGAAACCUUUGAACUAGGACGGUCUGAGGC